Molecule: ribosomal RNA, 468 nt
Filed under: uncultured bacterium
Lineage: Bacteria
Description: partial 16S ribosomal RNA
Rfam family: Bacterial small subunit ribosomal RNA
Source: RNAcentral
GACGAACGCUGGCGGCGUGCUUAACACAUGCAAGUCGAACGGAGAGGCCCUGCUUUUGUGGGGUGCUCGAGUGGCGAACGGGUGAGUAACACGUGAGUAACCUGCCCUUGACUUUGGGAUAACUUCAGGAAACUGGGGCUAAUACCGGAUAGGAGCUCCUGCUGCAUGGUGGGGGUGGGAAAGUUUCGGCGGUUGGGGAUGGACUCGCGGCUUAUCAGCUUGUUGGUGGGGUAGUGGCUUACCAAGGCUUUGACGGGUAGCCGGCCUGAGAGGGUGACCGGCCACAUUGGGACUGAGAUACGGCCCAGACUCCUACGGGAGGCAGCAGUGGGGAAUAUUGCACAAUGGGCGGAAGCCUGAUGCAGCAACGCCGCGUGCGGGAUGACGGCCUUCGGGUUGUAAACCGCUUUCGCCUGUGACGAAGCGUGAGUGACGGUAAUGGGUAAAGAAGCACCGGCUAACUACGUG